RNAcentral lists this unclassified non-coding RNA (1710 nucleotides) under Leishmania donovani. RNAcentral describes it as "gene:LdHU3.26.2470(CDS-product:Sedlin_N-inal_cons erved_region_containing_protein_putative)". Lineage: Eukaryota; Euglenozoa; Kinetoplastea; Trypanosomatida; Trypanosomatidae. The record is from RNAcentral.
CUUCCAUGUGCGUCUGUCUCUUCCUUUGCCGUUGCGUGUCUGCGCAGACGUCCUUUUCCCACCAAAACGAACAUAUAAGAAGCCUGCCGCAGCUGUCGUGGCCAUCCUUGACGUUGCACUCGGCACCACUCGACCUCUGCCAAUCGCGUGCAUAAUCCUGACAUCGCACUCGUCACGCGCUCUUCGCCGACACCGCCCCUCUUUUUUGAUCUCAGGAACGCAGGACGACAAAAUUCGGGUACAUCCUCUGCUCUACCGCUGCUCCUCUUACCAUCCAGAGCGAAACACAUCAACAGUAGCCUCCACCUACUUUCCUACCUCUUCCGUUUCGCAAGCGCAGCACCGCACACACUGUCGUUUCCGCUGCGCAGUAGACAACGACGGUGAGGCAAGAGGGACGGCCGAACACACACACACACACACACACCAGAGCACAUCAGAACAUGUCACUGGAGACGUGGGCGGUGGCCGCUGUCGCAAUCGUCGACGUGGAGGGGACGCCGCUGCUGCUGCGCACCUACACGUCGCCAAAGGACGUGCUCAACUCUCCCGCAGCCCCGCUGCACGCGCAUCUCUACGUUGGACCUGAGGACGUGAUCAAGCUGCACUUUGUCCUCUUCGCUUCCCUGGACCGCUGUGAGGACAUGCGCGAAAUGGCGGCGCUGCCGUCGACUGGCGCUGCGGCGCCCUCGUCAGCGGCGCUCGUGGGGGGCGGCACCGAGGCCUCCCUCGUUUCUAACAAGAGCGGUGAGUCGUCUAUUACCGAGGUGGGGGGUGUGGUGGCCGGCGCCACGCCAGCCACAGCCUCCAUGGCGAACGCGCCAGCAGCGAACACGGCGCGGCUCAUCUCUCCGACGACGGACGCAAGGUUUUUGGGAAAGCUGCUGGAGAGCCACCGCUUGCGAAGCUACGGCUUUCGCUCUGCCACUGGCAUCCAUACGCUACUGGUGACCGUAGGCAGUGAUGCACCGGCGGAUGCGAUGGUGCCACUUUGCCGCGCCUUGUACGAGUGCGCCUCGGCGGCGCUGUGCAAUCCGUUUCGAUCUCCAGCUCAGUGCUGGCGCGCUCAGGAGCAGCUGUUGUGGCGAGCGCCGUCGUCUGCGCUUGGGGGCGAGACGGCCGGCGCGGCGACAUCGCAGCUUGCGGAGGGGGCGGAAGGCAAAUAUGAAAGCCAGAGAUUCCCUCCCUGCACGCAAGGCAGGGAUGCUGCGGAUGCCGCAAGGUGGACCUCCGUUCUAUCCGGAGCGAUGGAGUGGAGCUGGCCGCGACCGGCCCCAACCUCCGCCGCCGCUCUCACUGCGGAGCCAACACUGGCGCUGUCGCGCACCUUCAAUACACAGCUUGAGAAGCUGCUGUCAAGCUUCACCGUAACGGCACGGAGCUGCAUCGUUCGGUGAGUCGCUAGAUGCAUCGCAGGUGAUCUCAAUCUCUGUCACGUGGCUUCCCUUUCAGCCUUUACAGUUCUUUUCGUUUUUGCCUGGCUCGAUCUUCGAGUUGUUCGAGGUGGAAGGGGGAGAGGUGGGCACGGCGUGACGGGCGAGAGAAGCCGCGAACCCCCAUCCUUGUUGUGGUGUGCACGUGCUGUUGGGCGGAAAGGUGGUGGAUGGCAGAGUCGGUGAGGGCCCACUGCUUCUUGUGCGUGUGCAUGCCCUGUCUUCCCAUGCCAUGCUGCUUGUGUCUCUGUCACCGGCGCAAGUAACCUGUUAAGAU